AACGCACAUUGCGCCCUUUGGUAUUCCGAAGGGCAUGCCUGUUCGAGCGUCAUUACACCCCUCAAGCUCUGCUUGGUAUUGGGCAGCGUCCUUUCGGACGCGCCUCAAAGACCUCGGCGGUGGCGUCUUGCCUCAAGCGUAGUAGAAAACACCUCGCUUUGGAGGACGGGACGACCGCUCGCCGGACGAACCUUUGAAUUUAUUUUCCUAGGUUGACCUCGGAUCAGGUAGGGAUACCCGCUGAACUUAA
RNAcentral lists this unclassified non-coding RNA (250 nucleotides) under uncultured Botryosphaeriales. RNAcentral describes it as "sequence contains 5.8S rRNA gene, ITS2, 28S rRNA gene". The stretch from base 1 to 52 matches the Rfam family "5.8S ribosomal RNA", at positions 103 to 154 of the family's 154-position model. The record is from RNAcentral. Lineage: Eukaryota; Fungi; Ascomycota; Dothideomycetes; Botryosphaeriales.